RNAcentral lists this ribosomal RNA (318 nucleotides) under uncultured Chloroflexota bacterium. RNAcentral's name for it is "bacterial SSU rRNA". It matches the Rfam family "Bacterial small subunit ribosomal RNA", at positions 28 to 351 of the family's 1533-position model. The record is from RNAcentral. Lineage: Bacteria; Bacillati; Chloroflexota.
GAUGAACGCUGGCGGCGUGCCUAAUACAUGCAAGUCGAACGGAGAGCUAGCAAUAGUUCUUAGUGGCGAACGGGUGAGUAACGCGUUGGUGACCUGCCCCGAAACGGGGGAUAACAGUUCGAAAGGACUGCUAAUACCCCAUAAUAUCUUGGUAGUUAGAGAGCUAAGAUGAAAGGAGAAAUCCGUUUUGGGAGGGGCCUGCGUCCCAUCAGCUAGUUGGUAGGGUAAAAGCCUACCAAGGCGAUGACGGGUAGGGGACCUGAGAGGGUGACCCCCCACAAUGGAACUGAACACGGUCCAUACACCUACGGGUGGCUG